This 971-nucleotide ribosomal RNA is filed under the name Lacticaseibacillus casei. RNAcentral describes it as "bacterial SSU rRNA". It matches the Rfam family "Bacterial small subunit ribosomal RNA", at positions 45 to 983 of the family's 1533-position model. Lineage: Bacteria; Bacillati; Bacillota; Bacilli; Lactobacillales; Lactobacillaceae. The record is from RNAcentral.
UGCUAUACAUGCAGUCGAACGAGUUCUCGUUGAUGAUCGGUGCUUGCACCGAGAUUCAACAUGGAACGAGUGGCGGACGGGUGAGUAACACGUGGGUAACCUGCCCUUAAGUGGGGGAUAACAUUUGGAAACAGAUGCUAAUACCGCAUAGAUCCAAGAACCGCAUGGUUCUUGGCUGAAAGAUGGCGUAAGCUAUCGCUUUUGGAUGGACCCGCGGCGUAUUAGCUAGUUGGUGAGGUAACGGCUCACCAAGGCGAUGAUACGUAGCCGAACUGAGAGGUUGAUCGGCCACAUUGGGACUGAGACACGGCCCAAACUCCUACGGGAGGCAGCAGUAGGGAAUCUUCCACAAUGGACGCAAGUCUGAUGGAGCAACGCCGCGUGAGUGAAGAAGGCUUUCGGGUCGUAAAACUCUGUUGUUGGAGAAGAAUGGUCGGCAGAGUAACUGUUGUCGGCGUGACGGUAUCCAACCAGAAAGCCACGGCUAACUACGUGCCAGCAGCCGCGGUAAUACGUAGGUGGCAAGCGUUAUCCGGAUUUAUUGGGCGUAAAGCGAGCGCAGGCGGUUUUUUAAGUCUGAUGUGAAAGCCCUCGGCUUAACCGAGGAAGCGCAUCGGAAACUGGGAAACUUGAGUGCAGAAGAGGACAGUGGAACUCCAUGUGUAGCGGUGAAAUGCGUAGAUAUAUGGAAGAACACCAGUGGCGAAGGCGGCUGUCUGGUCUGUAACUGACGCUGAGGCUCGAAAGCAUGGGUAGCGAACAGGAUUAGAUACCCUGGUAGUCCAUGCCGUAAACGAUGAAUGCUAGGUGUUGGAGGGUUUCCGCCCUUCAGUGCCGCAGCUAACGCAUUAAGCAUUCCGCCUGGGGAGUACGACCGCAAGGUUGAAACUCAAAGGAAUUGACGGGGGCCCGCACAAGCGGUGGAGCAUGUGGUUUAAUUCGAAGCAACGCGAGAACCUUACCAGGUCUUG